Molecule: ribosomal RNA, 254 nt
Filed under: uncultured bacterium
Lineage: Bacteria
Description: partial 16S ribosomal RNA
Rfam family: Bacterial small subunit ribosomal RNA
Source: RNAcentral
GACGUAGGGUCCAAGCGUUGUCCGGAUUUACUGGGCGUAAAGAGCGCGUAGGCGGUCUGUUAAGUGUGAAGUGAAAUCUCCAGGGCUCAACCCGGAAACUGCUUUACAUACUGACAGACUGGAGUGAUGCAGAGGUUUGUGGAAUUCCUGGUGUAACGGUGAAAUGUGUUGAUAUCAGGAGGAACACCCAUGGCGAAGGCAGCAAACUGGGCAUCAACUGACGCUGAGGCGCGAAAGCGUGGGUAGCAAACAGG